Molecule: long non-coding RNA, 802 nt
Organism: Micropterus dolomieu (smallmouth bass)
Lineage: Eukaryota; Metazoa; Chordata; Actinopteri; Centrarchiformes; Centrarchidae
Exons: 2
Source: RefSeq, a predicted model, not a curated record
UCCAUUGCAGGUUUCACAUCAGCGUCCCAAUCAGCUGGCAGUCAAGAGAGUCAGAGCUGAGGUAGGCGACUCCCACUGGCGUCACAGCAAAACACCAACUAGAGGACAAGAAAUGUGUUUAGCCUUCUUAUUGUUGAAUUAGGACAUGUUACAGCUGAGCUUUGGGUGUGAUAUGAACGCAGAUCUGAUUAUGAAACAACAGGAAAGAAGCAUAAGCAGCAGGAGAGGCCCCAGAAAAACAGAGUUGAAGAUACCAUGACUAUGAAUGUGUGUCCUGUCAUUAAUAUUUCACUGCAUCAUUGUUGCUAAAGGAGAACAAAGUGUAAAGGGGAGCAUAAUGAAAAAUGUAUCAUAUUUUGACACAGCUUUGGAAUUUAUCUGUGCAAAACAAAGAACAGGCGAGUCUUCCGCUUGUGAUGAGAUUCUGUGACUGAGAAAAUAUGGUGAUUAAUGUGUCCAAAUAAUUGCUGCAUGCUUUACCAUAAGGUUAUUGCCAUUAUAUGCACAUAUCUGAUGAAGAUGGAUGAGGAUAUGGUUCUGUAACUCACUUAAAAGAGGCUAUUUUUACUACGUACACUUUUGUUUAGUUUUUUUUUCCCUCUUUUCUCAAACAGGGGAGAGAUGAUUGUCAAGGUCACAAGCUCCCAGUUUCUCACUUGUCCCUAAAAUUCAAAAAACAAGCUAUGUGACAUGUCAGAGCUCUGCCUGCAGACAGCAGCACGCAACCCAAGAGAGAUUACCAUAUCGCUCGCAUUUGUCUGCAGAAAGCCUUCAUGCAUUAAAAACAGAAUUCUCCACUCAG